Molecule: long non-coding RNA, 385 nt
Filed under: Mytilus galloprovincialis (Mediterranean mussel)
Lineage: Eukaryota; Metazoa; Mollusca; Bivalvia; Mytilida; Mytilidae
Source: RNAcentral
UGCGCACAAAAAAAAAACAACAUGGAAACUUUCAAAAGUUGGCGGGUAUCUAUGUAACAAGUCUUACUAUCUUUAUGUCCCAUUUAUGGGCAUUAUGUUUUCUGGUCUGUCCGUCCGUCCUGCUUCAGGUUAAAGUUUAUAGUCGAGGUAGUUUUUUUUAUGAAGUUGAAAUCCAAUCAACUUGAAACUUAGUACACAUGUGCUCCUUAUGAUAUGAUCUUUCUAAUUUUACUGCCAAAUUAAAGAUUUUACCUAAUUUUCACAGUCCACUGAACAUAAAAAAUGAUUGUACGGAUGGGAAAUCCAUUUACUUGUGACACAUUCUUGUUUGAAGAAAAAAAAAUACAUCAUUACGAUAAUGAAACAAAGCAGCCUGUGUUAGUGG